RNAcentral lists this ribosomal RNA (435 nucleotides) under uncultured bacterium. RNAcentral's name for it is "partial 16S ribosomal RNA". It matches the Rfam family "Bacterial small subunit ribosomal RNA", at positions 29 to 507 of the family's 1533-position model. The record is from RNAcentral.
AGCGAACGCUGGCGGCAGGCUUAACACAUGCAAGUCGAGCGGGCAUCUUCGGAUGUCAGCGGCAGACGGGUGAGUAACACGGGGGAACGUACCCUUCGGUUCGGUACAACUCUGGGAAACUGGAUCUAAUACCGGAUACGCCCCUAUGGGGAAAGGUUUACUGCCGAAGGAUCGGCCCGCGUCUGAUUAGCUAGUUGGUGGGGUAACGGCCUACCAAGGCGACGAUCAGUAGCUGGUCUGAGAGGAUGAUCAGCCACACUGGGACUGAGACACGGCCCAGACUCCUACGGGAGGCAGCAGUGGGGAAUAUUGGGCAAUGGGCGCAAGCCUGAUGCAGCCAUGCCGCGUGAGUGAUGAAGGCCUUAGGGUUGUAAAGCUCUUUUGUCCGGGACGAUAAUGACGGUACCGGAAGAAUAAGCCCCGGCUAACUUCGUG